GAAGCAGGUGAGGUCCUCAAAUGUCUGGGAGAAACAGUUCAGGGGCUCUGUGCCCAAGGCCAGCAAGAAGACAUCUGAGAACAGAGUUGUUCCAUACGGGUUAUAGGCUACGUUUGUUCAUUUCUAUGAAGAAAGCAAGUGAGCUCCAGACAGAGGCGUGCAAGUCUAUAGAUCACAUGUGAAGUCUCAUGAGACACCAAUAUCACCUGCCUUCCAGGUUGUUAAUCAGAGGACAUCGAUCACUUCAUCCGACAGGCAACGCUUCACUUUCACCCAGUCCCUGCAUAAUCCCUGUUCCACAGUGCAGCCAGAGUGAUGCUUCCAACACAAAAAUGCCAGCUUUGGACCCGUGGGCAGCUCAGUGGGCUACAGCACUUCCUGCACAUCCCAAGACACCCAACUUUCAUCCCAGAACCCAAGUGAAGUGGAAAGAGAGAACAAGCCCCACAGACGGUCCUCUGACCUCCACACACUCGCUGUGGCGCACUUGCCCACACAGGUAUCAGGCGCGCACACACAGUAAUGAUAAAAAAUGGAUGAAAUACAAAUCUGAUCCAGACACACUUACUGACAGCCCCUAAAGAGUGUUCUUUUUUAAUCUUAUGUGCACGUGUGUGUAAGCCAUGUGUGUGUCGGUACUUAACGGGGUCCAGGAGAGGUAUUGAAUCCCUGGAAUGGGAAUUCUAAGUAGCUAGGAGCUGCUGUGAUGGCGAUGGGAAUGUGAAUUUAGGUCCUCUGAGCCAUCUCUCCAGCCCUCUUUUUUUCUUUUCUCUUUUCAUUUUGUUUUCAGUAGCUGCUCUUGAGGACGUGACCCAUGUCCUUAAGGCUAUCACUAAAGCUCGGGCUGGCCUAGCCUCUGUCACGAUGUUCAUGGAAUAAUGUUUUCUUUGUUCUGGCCUUAUGACGCUAUGUUCUGAUCCUGAACACAUCACCAGACACUGGUGCUAAGAUCUCUUUCUCCAGGGAACUCCUGCUUCCUCUCUGUGCCCAAAUUAAUACAUUAUUCUUGCUUCAAAUGCUUUCCUGGUUCCGUCUCUUGUUCUACAUUCCCCAGGUCGCUCUUACAGUAUGGACUACCCACCUCUGGAUUUUACUGUAUGUUACACAUCUGCCACCUGUCAAGGACAUCCUCAUCUACAGAGUCCGCCAUCGUCAGAUAGCACUUAGCUACUACGUACAGGGCCCAGGCUUUCGGAAGACCUGAUUUGACACCAGCAACGACGAGGUAUGUAUAAUCAACCCCAUUUCUCAGAGGAGAAAAACAGGCUCAGAGAGGUUAAAUGGUGUGAGGAAGGCCACACAGGCAAUAUGUGGCACACAAGCACCUGAGCUCCAGUCUGUCAGUCUAGGAUCUGUGGUGUUAACUACACGGUCACAGUGGGUUGUUCAUCUGAUUCAUUGGGGAGAAAAAGAUUACACCUGUUUCCUAAGACCCUGUAGAGACAGCUGAGAACUCCCAUGAGCAAUCAAAGGGAAAGCAAGUCAGACAGACCACACACCACGGGAGUGUGGGUGGGGAUGAGGAAGGGACUCCCUUUCAGCUAGGAGAGGAACACCUCCCCCAGUACCACUCCAAAGGAAUUUACCUCAUCUGGCUGAGGUUGGAGGGCCUCUGCCUCUCUCCUUUUAGACCAAUUAGCUGGUUGUAAGCUGGUGACCUGCCAGAGAAGGGCUGCCUAGAAGUCAAAAGUGAGAGGAACACAAGUCCUCCAAAUCCAGCCACCAUCUCUCUGGGGCAGAAUGUCACUUGGAGCUAAACUGUGCUUCAGCCAAUCCUGGCAUAGACCGUGUUGGGGCAGAGCAAAGACUCUGAGGCUGGGGUGACUCCCCAUAGAUGCAGGGAGACAUCCUGGUGAGGAGGUUGGGAAGCAGGUAGGGGACCAAAGAGAAACUGUACCGUGAUUGGGAUGGAGGUGGGGACUGGUAGCAUGUGUGGUGUAUGUGGCCAAAGGGUCCUCCAGAACACCUAGUGCCCUGACGUAAGGG
This 1986-nucleotide small RNA is filed under the name Rattus norvegicus (Norway rat). RNAcentral's name for it is "uncharacterized LOC102554074". Lineage: Eukaryota; Metazoa; Chordata; Mammalia; Rodentia; Muridae. The record is from RNAcentral.